UACGGAGGAUGCGAGCGUUAUCCGGAUUUAUUGGGUUUAAAGGGUGCGUAGGCGGCUUUUUAAGUCAGCGGUGAAAUUUUGCAGCUUAACUGUAACAGUGCCGUUGAUACUGGGGAGCUAGGAUUUGGUUGUAGUGUGCGGAAUGUGUGGUGUAGCGGUGAAAUGCUUAGAUAUCACACAGAACACCGAUUGCGAAGGCAGCACACUAAGUCAUUAUUGACGCUGAGGCACGAAAGUGUGGGGAUCAAACAGGAUUAGA
RNAcentral lists this ribosomal RNA (259 nucleotides) under uncultured prokaryote. RNAcentral's name for it is "partial 16S ribosomal RNA". It matches the Rfam family "Bacterial small subunit ribosomal RNA", at positions 524 to 782 of the family's 1533-position model. The record is from RNAcentral.